CCUACGGGUGGCAGCAGUGAGGAAUAUUGGUCAAUGGACGCAAGUCUGAACCAGCCAUGCCGCGUGCAGGAAGACGGCUCUAUGAGUUGUAAACUGCUUUUGUACGAGGGUAAACGCAGAUACGCGUCUCUGUCUGAAAUUACCGUACGAAUAAGGAUCGGCUAACCCCGCGCCAGCCGCCGCGGUAAUACGGUGGAUUCAAGCGUUAACCGGACUUAUUGGGUUUAAAGGGGGCGUCGGGGGUCGGAUAAGUUAGAUGUGAAAUCCAGAGGCUCAACUUUGGAAGUGCCUUUGAUACUGUGCGGCUAGAGAGUAGUUGCGGUAGGCGGAAUGUAUGGUGUAGCGGUGAAAUGCUUAGAGAUCAGACAGAACACCGAUUGCGAAGGCAGCUUACCAAGCUACUUCUGACGUUGAGGCACGAAAGCGUGGGGAGCAAACAGGAUUAGAUACCCCAGUAGUC
RNAcentral lists this ribosomal RNA (460 nucleotides) under uncultured bacterium. RNAcentral's name for it is "partial 16S ribosomal RNA". It matches the Rfam family "Bacterial small subunit ribosomal RNA", at positions 338 to 795 of the family's 1533-position model. The record is from RNAcentral.